AUCUGACAGAAGACUCUCCAUAUA
This 24-nucleotide non-coding RNA is filed under the name Arabidopsis thaliana (thale cress). Lineage: Eukaryota; Viridiplantae; Streptophyta; Magnoliopsida; Brassicales; Brassicaceae. The record is from RNAcentral.